Molecule: small RNA, 79 nt
Filed under: Gynuella sunshinyii YC6258
Lineage: Bacteria; Pseudomonadati; Pseudomonadota; Gammaproteobacteria; Oceanospirillales; Saccharospirillaceae
Description: isrK Hfq binding RNA
Rfam family: isrK Hfq binding RNA
Source: Rfam by way of RNAcentral
GCGCUGGCAAAAUCCAGCGCCGGGAUUGGAACCCCGCAAGCUACAUAGAGGCAUUAAAGACGCGCCCGGCGUCUUUUUU